RNAcentral lists this ribosomal RNA (253 nucleotides) under uncultured bacterium. Its description in RNAcentral is "partial 16S ribosomal RNA". It matches the Rfam family "Bacterial small subunit ribosomal RNA", at positions 524 to 776 of the family's 1533-position model. The record is from RNAcentral.
UACGAAGGGGGCUAGCGUUGCUCGGAAUCACUGGGCGUAAAGGGUGCGUAGGCGGGGUUUUAAGUCAGGGGUGAAAUCCUGGAGCUCAACUCCAGAACUGCCUUUGAUACUGGGGAUCUCGAGUCCGGAAGAGGUGAGUGGAACUCCGAGUGUAGAGGUGAAAUUCGUAGAUAUUCGGAAGAACACCAGUGGCGAAGGCGGCUCACUGGCCCGAUACUGACGCUGAGGCACGAAAGCGUGGGGAGCAAACAGG